AAAGAGGGAGAGAUCUGCGCCAGCAUCUUGUCAGAGAAAGUCUAAAGUUUAUUUCCUUGGAAACAUCUUUGCGGAAGAGAUUUCAUCGCAAGCACGACCUGAGACGGGAUCGAAAAAGAUUGUUUACCAAACAACAGCGAUGGCGAAUCUUCGGCAGUUCACCAGAACUCGGAGACUCAAGAUGUGUUUGGUUCUUCUGGUACUCCUGACUGUGUUGCUUUUAACUGGACAUGGA
RNAcentral lists this unclassified non-coding RNA (235 nucleotides) under Pomacea canaliculata. RNAcentral describes it as "alpha-(1,3)-fucosyltransferase C-like, transcript variant X3". Lineage: Eukaryota; Metazoa; Mollusca; Gastropoda; Architaenioglossa; Ampullariidae. The record is from RNAcentral.